This 1103-nucleotide long non-coding RNA is filed under the name Homo sapiens (human). RNAcentral's name for it is "long non-coding RNA NONHSAT155819.1". The record is from RNAcentral. Lineage: Eukaryota; Metazoa; Chordata; Mammalia; Primates; Hominidae.
UGUCCGCGACGCAGCUCGGGAUCCGGGUCGGGGUGUCGGCCGGGUUGCUGCCGGGCACCGUCGAGCGUUAGCCACCCAGCAUUGAGCUGCCAGCGGCUGUUCUCCCUAAGCACCCUCGCUCACGUCGCCUCGCCUCGCCUCGCCUGACCGGCCGCAGCCUUGGAUACCAGCCUUAAAUCGAGCCGACUACGGCCCAGCCCCGCCCGCGGCGAGGAGCAGUGCAAAGGCUUCACUGAAAAAGAACAUUACAAAUUUUUUUUGAAAGAAAUUUGGGGGAAUCCACUGAAGACCUACAUUUCCCGGAAGGUUAACAGCCCCCUUCUCAGUUUUCCUGGUGCUCCUAUCAGUGACAAAUCAGCGUAUUAGAACAUGCAUGCUGGCUGAUCAUUCUGAUCAAGUCAACAAGCUUCACAACUUACUCAAUGAGGUCGUCCGUGAGAACUUCACUGUUUUACGGGGACAGGAGCUACUUCUUUGCUGAACUGCAUCACGGUUUCAACUGCUGAGGUUUUCUUCAAGCUUUUGCAUUGUUUGGAAUGUGAAGGGCAUGGCCGAGACACACUUUGAGGUUCCCACUGCAUUGUUACACCUCCCCCCUCACUUCAGGGCCAGGUAACACCAAGAAGGACGCCAUGAGAGCGAAGGCCGUUGGGUCACCGCCCUUUGCUCUCGCGCUGCGCGUCUCCCUGCCAUCAACCGCCGCAACUGGCGCUGGGAGCGGUUGAGGGCGGCCGGCCUCGCGCUGGAACCUCGCCCGCCUCAAGGCUCCUGCGGCGGCACACGGGGCAGGCCAGGACCCGCCCUAGGAGGGCCCCGCUGGAGAUGUGGAAAUGGAGGGACGCGGCACCUGGGCGCUUCCUGGGGCCAGACAACGCCCCCUCAUUGGAACCUCCAUGACCCUGCCUCUGAGAAACCAGCGCGUCCGCAACGAUCACUCCUAAUUUUCGGUAAUAAUUCCUAUCAUCUGUCUCCACGUGAUAACACUGAAGAGCCUUCACAUUGAUGCAGGCCCAGGGCCUCAAGUGCAGAGACUGAGAGCUCUGCAGGACACAGCAUGGAGCCGCCAUUCCUCUACUGGGUGGAGGAGCAUGUGUCCUCUGAAC